This 465-nucleotide ribosomal RNA is filed under the name uncultured bacterium. RNAcentral's name for it is "partial 16S ribosomal RNA". It matches the Rfam family "Bacterial small subunit ribosomal RNA", at positions 339 to 795 of the family's 1533-position model. The record is from RNAcentral.
CUACGGGCUGCUGCAGUGAGGAAUUUUGCGCAAUGGGGGAAACCCUGACGCAGCAACGCCGCGUGAGUGAAGAAGGCCCUUGGGUCGUAAAGCUCUGUCAAUGGGGAAGAAGUUACUUGGUAUUAAUAGUGCCUUGUAUUGACGGUACCCAUGAAGGAAGCACCGGCUAACUCCGUGCCAGCAGCCGCGGUAAUACGGGGGGUGCAAGCGUUAUUCGGAAUUAUUGGGCGUAAAGGGCACGCAGGCGGUCCUGUCAGUCAGAUGGGAAAGCCCGGGGCUCAACCCCGGACGUGCAUUUGAAACAGCAGGACUUGAGUACGGGAGAGGAAAGGGGAAUUCCUGGUGUAGAGGUGAAAUUCGUAGAUAUCAGGAGGAACACCGGUGGCGAAGGCGCCUUUCUGGACCGAUACUGACGCUGAGGUGCGAAGGCGUGGGUAGCGAACGGGAUUAGAUACCCCAGUAGUC